Molecule: ribosomal RNA, 570 nt
Filed under: uncultured Verrucomicrobiota bacterium
Lineage: Bacteria; Pseudomonadati; Verrucomicrobiota
Description: bacterial SSU rRNA
Rfam family: Bacterial small subunit ribosomal RNA
Source: RNAcentral
GUGGGCGACCUACCUUCGAGUGGGGGAUAACCUUCCGAAAGGAGGGCUAAUACCGCAUGACAUCCCGUGUUUGGAUACACGGACAUCAAAGCCGGGGAUCGUAAGACCUGGCGCUUGAAGAGGGGCCCGUGUCCGAUCAGCUAGUUGGUGGGGUAACGGCUCACCAAGGCUCCGAUCGGUAUCCGGCCUGAGAGGGCGGACGGACACACUGGAACUGAGACACGGUCCAGACACCUACGGGUGGCAGCAGUCGAGAAUUUUUCACAAUGGGCGCAAGCCUGAUGGAGCGACGCCGCGUGGGGGAUGAAUGGCUUCGGCCCGUAAACCCCUGUCAUUUGCGAUCAACCGUUAUUGUUUAAGAGAUGAUAACCUGAUAGUAGCGAAAGAGGAAGGGACGGCUAACUCUGUGCCAGCAGCCGCGGUGAUACAGAGGUCCCAAGCGUUGUUCGGAUUCACUGGGCGUAAAGGGUGCGUAGGUGGCGAGGUAAGUCGGAUGUGAAAGCUCGGAGCUCAACUCCGAAAUGGCAUUGGAAACUACCUUGCUCGAGGAUUGGAGGGGGGACUGGAAUA